Molecule: ribosomal RNA, 496 nt
Filed under: uncultured bacterium
Lineage: Bacteria
Description: partial 16S ribosomal RNA
Rfam family: Bacterial small subunit ribosomal RNA
Source: RNAcentral
AUUGAACGCUGGCGGAAUGCUUUACACAUGCAAGUCGAACGGUAGAGGGGGCAACCCCUCGAGAGUGGCGAACGGGUGAGUAAUAUAUCGGAACGUGCCCAGUCGUGGGGGAUAACGGAGCGAAAGUUACGCUAAUACCGCAUACGAUCUAAGGAUGAAAGCGGGGGAUCGCAAGACCUCGCGCGAUUGGAGCGGCCGAUAUCAGAUUAGGUAGUUGGUGGGGUAAAGGCUCACCAAGCCAACGAUCUGUAGCUGGUCUGAGAGGACGACCAGCCACACUGGAACUGAGACACGGUCCAGACUCCUACGGAAGGCAGCAGUGGGGAAUUUUGGACAAUGGACGCAAGUCUGAUCCAGCCAUUCCGCGUGCAGGAUGAAGGCCCUCGGGUUGUAAACUGCUUUUGUACGGAACGAAAAGGUCUCUCUUAAUACGGGGGACUCAUGACGGUACCGUAAGAAUAAGCACCGGCUAACUACGUGCCAGCCGCCGCAGUAA